Molecule: long non-coding RNA, 288 nt
Filed under: Malus domestica (apple)
Lineage: Eukaryota; Viridiplantae; Streptophyta; Magnoliopsida; Rosales; Rosaceae
Description: long non-coding RNA (MDOM_LNC002853)
Source: RNAcentral
UCACGCUGAUGUGUUGAGUGCUAGUGUUUUUAGCUUUGCUUGAAAUCUUCACUGGUGCAUUUGGUGUGAAGUCGAGUCCAGCUUUGUUGUUGUCAACUUCGUAACCAUGCUUAUUCAAUUUCUUUUGAGUCCUGGUGAUGUUGCGUUCUUUGUCAUUGACGGUGUUUGAAACCUUCUUUCCAGGAUUCGAAGAGGAAGCGAAGUUGUACCCAGCCUUCGACAUGAGUUUGUAGGCGUUUGGAUCAAAACCUUCUUCGAUCCUCUUGGUUGGAAGAAAGCUUGGUUCCA